CAGACUCGAGCAUCAAAGCAGAAGGAAGGGCGUUUAGCUCCGAAGAGAGGCCAAACACUCCACGGUCCAAGCAUUCUGCCACCGAGCACAGAAGGCGAACCAAAAUUAAUGACAGGCAAGUCAACGCAUUAUCUGAGCAUUUUCGAUAUUCAAUACAUUGUUAACGUAUGCUUUAAAAAAUAAACGCAUAUUUGUGGAGACAGCGAUAUAAAGUUACAAGUUAUUAUAUUAUCCGUUGUGUCUAUAAAUUUUCCUGCUCCAAAUGAUUUUGAGUUGGCUAAAUGUUGCAAGAACUUGUGUUGUUAAACGAGGAAACAUAAUCUAGAUUGUGUUAAUUGAGAUGCUACUUCAAUACUGUGCCUUUUUGUGAUGCUAUAACCAAUAAGUAGAGUUAAUUUAACAGUCUCUGAUAGAAUACAAAACUGUUGUGCAGAUUUCAGAUACUAAGGGAGCUCAUACCUCACAGUGAUCAAAAGAGAGAUAAAGCAUCAUUCCUUCUGGAGGUAUCAGUGUAUCGUACAAUUAUGUCUCUUCUUUCUAUGAUGGUGUCCUUUUGAGAUUUUGUUGGUGAAAUUUCCAUCAGGUUAUUGAAUACAUCCGCUUCCUGCAAGAGAAGGCACAGAAUUACGAGUCAUCUUACCCGGGAUGGAAUCAGGAUGAGAUCAAGUUAAUGCCUUGGGUAGAAUCACUAAGCUCAAUCUACAUGUCAUGUACAAGUCUGCCUUUCUAAUUAGCUCUCAUACCUUGUGUCUUCUUCCUCACCAUGUUGGUUUUCUUCUCUUCCGAGUGUUUACAGCAGAAGAAGAACCCAGCCUCAAAAAAUGCUUCUCAAAUCAUAAGAAAUGAUUCUGCUGCUCCUGCACAAAUAUUGUCUGAAAAGCUCGAGA
RNAcentral lists this long non-coding RNA (887 nucleotides) under Musa acuminata (dwarf banana). RNAcentral describes it as "long non-coding RNA (MACU_LNC001176)". Lineage: Eukaryota; Viridiplantae; Streptophyta; Magnoliopsida; Zingiberales; Musaceae. The record is from RNAcentral.